This is a long non-coding RNA of Bradysia coprophila, 1069 nucleotides long. RefSeq lists it as uncharacterized. The record is from RefSeq and is a predicted model, not a curated record. Lineage: Eukaryota; Metazoa; Arthropoda; Insecta; Diptera; Sciaridae.
UUAUUUUUUACUUAACCGGAAUAUAGAUAAACUAAGUACAAUUUUAGACAAUAAAUGCUAUUUCCUGAAGCAAGUGACACAAUUCAAACGUGUUUCAACUGAAACUUGAUAAUUUAUUGUUCGAUAUUCAGUCUGUGAUAAGGCACCGAUUUGUGCAAAAGUUCGUUCAGUUUCAAAAUGAAUCAGACGUGGAUCCUACUCGCUGUCGUUGUUCUAUUAAUCCCGUGUUCGACGACAUUUGGUGGCAAUGUUUUUCUUAAUCCAAGAAGUGGCUCGUAUAGUGCACAAUUUUACGCAGAUCCAUAUUCUACAGGAUCAUGUAAAAUUGAUCCGUACAACAAAUCAAUCACAAUAAGAAAUUUGAAAUCCUACUGCAACACCAGACAACUACGAAAUAUUUUCUCAAGUUUAUCGUCCGGCACAUACCCAAUUGGUCGAUUAAGAGGAUACACAAUUGUUGGCCCUGAUGCACUCGUCGAGUCUGUAUGGAAUGGCAAAAAUUUUUAUUACGCAAAUGGAUCCGCACGCGGUGGUACGGUGACCAAUACGUUCUUAGGAAUAUUUCAGUUUUUACAAGCUUCAAUUUAUCGAACAAUCGCUCCAAUUGAUGGCAAAGAAGCGUUCGCAAUCGAUUAUAGAAACGAGAUAUUUGCUUUUCUGAUGAUAGACUUUCUACGAAAAGUUCAAGACAAUUUGUAUUUGGGCUUUGUGACGAUUCGUGGUUUUGAAACCAUACCAGUCGGAUAUUUUUUACUGGAAAGUUUUUGAUCUGUCCAGACGCUUUACCGAAUGUUUUUGUCAUUAGUUUCUACCUGAUUAAUUGUUAACUGUAAGACUGAACUUCAAUUUAGCUACACCAUUACCAUUAUAUGACGAUAAAGUAUAGCCGAAAACGAUAAACUGGAACAGGUUUCAUAGAACUUGUCAGACCUAAAAUAAAUUGUUUUUCUUCGUAUACCUGUUUCAAACAUUACGUGACAUCAUCAAAGUUUCUUAAAUGUUAGAAUAUAUCACAUUACUAAAUUGAGCGAGAAAAUCACUACCAAUCACUGGGACGGAGGGUGUAAUC